This 74-nucleotide transfer RNA is filed under the name Conopholis americana. RNAcentral's name for it is "trnfM-CAU". It matches the Rfam family "tRNA". From Rfam's summary of the family: Transfer RNA (tRNA) molecules are approximately 80 nucleotides in length. Their secondary structure includes four short double-helical elements and three loops (D, anti-codon, and T loops). Further hydrogen bonds mediate the characteristic L-shaped molecular structure. tRNAs have two regions of fundamental functional importance: the anti-codon, which is responsible for specific mRNA codon recognition, and the 3' end, to which the tRNAs corresponding amino acid is attached (by aminoacyl-tRNA synthetases). tRNAs cope with the degeneracy of the genetic code in two manners: having more than one tRNA (with a specific anti-codon) for a particular amino acid; and 'wobble' base-pairing, i.e. permitting non-standard base-pairing at the 3rd anti-codon position. Lineage: Eukaryota; Viridiplantae; Streptophyta; Magnoliopsida; Lamiales; Orobanchaceae. The record is from RNAcentral.
CGCGGGGUAGAGCAGUUUGGUAGCUCGCAAGGCUCAUAACCUUGAGGUCAUGGGUUCAAAUCCUGUCUUCGCAA